AUGGCGAGUUCGGCUUCAGGCGCAGGCUCGGGAACAGACGACGUUGAAGAGAUGAUGAAGAACCUGGGCUUGACGGAAGAUGACCUAGAUGAUGUGGUCUUCGAAGAUCAACAGGUUCCAUCAGAAGCGGCCGUCAGGUGGAUGGCUGUGGCACGAGUUCAUACACCCAAAGAAUACAACCAGUACAGGUUUUUUCUCAACAUGAGGGCUGCCUGGGAUCUGGCUCAGGAAGUAAAAAUCCGCCCCCUCGAGAGCAACCUAUACACGAUGCAAUUCUCGUGUUUGGGUGACUGGGAACGUGUGAUGGUUGAGGGCCCGUGGACUUUCAAGGGCAAUGCGGUGGUGAUGGCGGAAUAUGAUGGAUUUACAAAGCCAUCGGAGGUUAACCUGGACAUGCUGGAUAUCUGGGCGCAGAUACACGAUCUGCCUGAUGGCUACUUUCCCAUGGUGAAAGCCCUGGCCGGAAAAAUUGGUGAACUCAUAUAUGCUGAACCGAAGUCCCAAGAUUUUGAAGGAAAUUUCGCGCGUGUCAGGGUGAAGAUCAACGUCCACAAACCACUCAAGAACGCAGUCACGGUGGUGAGGGAGGGCAAAAGGAAGGUUUUCUUGGUCAAAUAUGAACGAUUGCCCGAUUGGUGUGCCGUCUGUGGCCAUCUGGGCCAUCAAUUCAAGGAACACGGUGACGGUGUUCAUCCACCGCAGGCGCUGGUCUUUAAAAAUGUGACGCCCGGAUAA
This 735-nucleotide ribosomal RNA is filed under the name Triticum aestivum (bread wheat). RNAcentral describes it as "partial small subunit ribosomal RNA". Lineage: Eukaryota; Viridiplantae; Streptophyta; Magnoliopsida; Poales; Poaceae. The record is from RNAcentral.